AGAGUUUGAUCAUGGCUCAGGAUGAACGCUGGCGGCGUGCCUAACACAUGCAAGUCGAACGAAGCGGUUUUGGUGAAGUUUUCGGAUGGAACCGGAACUGACUGAGUGGCGGACGGGUGAGUAACGCGUGGGUAACCUGCCUCAUACAGGGGGAUAACAGUUAGAAAUGACUGCUAAUACCGCAUAAGCGCACGGGACCGCAUGGUUUUGUGUGAAAAGCCGAGACGGUAUGAGAUGGACCCGCGUCUAAUUAGCUGGUUGGUGGGGUAACGGCCCACCAAGGCGACGAUCAGUAGCCGACCUGAGAGGGUGACCGGCCACAUUGGGACUGAGACACGGCCCAAACUCCUACGGGAGGCAGCAGUGGGGGAUAUUGCACAAUGGGGGAAACCCUGAUGCAGCGACGCCGCGUGAGUGAAGAAGUAUUUCGGUAUGUAAAGCUCUAUCAGCAGGGAAGAGAAUGACGGUACCUGAGUAAGAAGCCCCGCUAACUACGUGCCAGCAGCCGCGGUAAUACGUAGGGAGCGAGCGUUAUCCGG
RNAcentral lists this ribosomal RNA (539 nucleotides) under uncultured bacterium. RNAcentral describes it as "bacterial SSU rRNA". It matches the Rfam family "Bacterial small subunit ribosomal RNA", at positions 8 to 548 of the family's 1533-position model. The record is from RNAcentral.